AAAUCUCACUCCACUCCAGCAGUGCAACAAUCUCAAUCUUCUGAACCAUCUCAAGCAAUAGUGCAAAGUGACAGUGGUAAUAGAAAAGGUGCAAAUAAUGCAUUUAAGAGGCCAAGAGUAGUGGGUCAUGGAGUAUUUGUGAGCAAAGAUGGUUUUAUUUGUGCCGAGCAAGGAAGAUCUAUUAGUAGGGUAAUCAAGAGUGGAGCACAAGAGAAACUGAUAAGUUCAGCUAUUGUCACCGGUGACCUUGGGUAUGCACCAAGUAAAGGUCUUAAAUGGAAGGGGAAAAGUGCUAUCACAGGAAGACAACUUCAACAUAAAAGUGCUUUGCUUAGACAGAAGAACAUCAAGUCACAAACUUCAUCACAAGGUGCAACAAGAACUGAAGGUGUUUAGGGAUGAUGUGGCUGAUUUUUCAUGUGGCUCGAACUAUUUUUAAGUCACGUAUUUUGGUUGUGAAUAGGACGAUGUCGACUUUUAGUUAUGAAUUUUAAUGUUACUAAACACGGUGACUAAUUUGCAGCCCAAGUAGUUAUUGUAAUCUACUAAACAUGGUGACUGAUUUUUCAUGUGGUUCGAACUGUUCUUAAGUCGUGUAUUUUGGUUGUGAAUAUGAUGGUAUCGAAUUUGGGUUGUGAA
This is a long non-coding RNA of Solanum tuberosum (potato), 639 nucleotides long. RefSeq lists it as uncharacterized. The transcript is spliced from 2 exons. NCBI's taxonomy places the organism in Eukaryota, Viridiplantae, Streptophyta, Magnoliopsida, Solanales, Solanaceae. The record is from RefSeq and is a predicted model, not a curated record.